GACGAACGCUGGCGGCGUGCUUAACACAUGCAAGUCGAACGGAAAGGCCCUGCUUUUGUGGGGUGCUCGAGUGGCGAACGGGUGAGUAACACGUGAGUAACCUGCCCUUGACUUUGGGAUAACUUCAGGAAACUGGGGCUAAUACCGGAUAGGAGCUCCUGCUGCAUGGUGGGGGUUGGAAAGUUUCGGCGGUUGGGGAUGGACGCGCGGCUUCUCCGCUUGUGGGUGGGGUAGUGGCUUACUAAGGCUUUAACGGGUAGCCGGCCUGGGGGGGUGACCGGCAAAGUGGGGCCUAGGAAACGGCCCGACCUCUUACGGGAGGCGGCGGUGGGGAGUAUGGCACAUGGGGCGAAGGCCUGAUGAGGCAACGCCGCGUGCGGAAUGACGGCCUUCGGGUUGUAAACCGCUUUCGCCUGUGACGAGGCGUGAGUGACGGUAGUGGGUAAAGAAGCACCGGCUAACUACGU
RNAcentral lists this ribosomal RNA (467 nucleotides) under uncultured bacterium. Its description in RNAcentral is "partial 16S ribosomal RNA". It matches the Rfam family "Bacterial small subunit ribosomal RNA", at positions 28 to 506 of the family's 1533-position model. The record is from RNAcentral.